GAAAAGCAUCAGAGCUGGAAAGACUGGCACUCUGGCCUGGACUAGCAGCCUCUCCCAGCACAGUCCACAGCAAGCCAGUCUCAGAUGUGGCUCGACCGGCCUGGCUUGGGCCAAAAGCCUGGCAUGAAUGUGAGAUGUUAGAGCUGCUGCCCCCAUUUGUUGGCCUGUGUGCCUCCCUGGCAGGCCACUCCAGUGCUUGGCAGGCUUACCUGUCACUGUCAUCCACAGUGCUGGGUCCUGCACCUGGGCCAGGGCCUGAGCCACUCAGCCUCCUCCAGAAGCUGAUCCUGUGGCGCGUUCUGCGACCUGAGUGCCUGGCAGGUGCCCUGGCAGACUUCACCACUAGCCUCCUGGGUCGGCCCCUGGAUGAAAACAUGUAUGCUCCCACCAUGCCCUUUAAACAUAGUCAGGCUACUCAGCCCAUGCUGAUCUUGUUGCCACCGCCUGGCCACCCCUCAGCCACUCUGCAUCCUCUGACUGUCAUCCAGAAACUGGCUGCCAAGUAUCAGCAGGGGCAGAAGCAACUGCAGGUGAUAGCCCUGGGCUCUGAAGCCUGGGACCCAGUCUCAGUUGUGGUCAGCACUCUAUCCCAGGCUAUGUAUGAGGGGCACUGGCUGGUGCUGGACAACUGUCAUCUGAUGCCCCAUUGGCCGAAAGAGCUGCUACAGCUCUUGCUGGAACUGUUAGGCAGAGCCAAGGUGGUUGCAGACCUGGAAUCAGAACAGCUUUUAGACCAACCUGAAAGCAGGAAUGUAAGCACUGUUCACAGAGAUUUUCGUCUUUGGCUUAUUGUGCCUGCAGAGUCUAGUGCUUCUUUGCCAGCUGUGCUGACUCAGCACUCCAUGCCUGUUUUCUGGAACCAGUCCCUGGAGCUGGGCCAUGUUUUGAUUGACAGUGUGGAGCUAGCCCAGCAAGUACUCUACAUGCAACCCCCCACCCAGGCACUACCUCUGCUCCUCCUCCAUGGCCUCCUGCUACACCGGCAGCUCUAUGGAACAAGGCUGCAGGCGCACAGGGGGCGCUGGAGUCAAGUGACUCUAACCCAGGUUCUUCAGACCCAAGAUCAGCUGUGGGCAAGUCUUAGCAAUCCCCGUGCUGCCAUGCAAGAGCUGGCUGGUGAGACCCUUCCUCUCCCCCUUGGAGUCAUCAGCCCCCAGGAGAGCCUAGAAGAGGGUGGGGGUGGGAUAUAAUUCACAGCUUUGGUUUUGGCGGUGGUGGAAACUGAAGGUACUGGAACUGAGAGACUCUAACCUCAUCUUCAGCUUCAGUUUUCUACGGGGGUCCUCUGGGGGACACUGAGGACAGGGAGGCCCUGAUUAGCCUCACACAAGCCUGCCUGAGCCCCAGUAGCGGGAGCUGGGUCCAGCCACACACACCUCAGUCUUUGCUGGCCACGCUCAUGCCCCUCCCAGGUAAGCCUCACUCAGGUAUCUGUUUUGGGGUAGGGAAUAGUGCAAUGCAAUGCCACCCCCCACAGAAAUGUGGACAGCAGUCUCAAUAAAGGUAUAUGAGGGGGUAAUAUUCAUACUGUUAUGGGGGUGAUGGCAGUAAAGGAUCAGAGGAAGGCCUACUCUCUCGAGUCUAGGGUGGGGAGAGUCCAUCUUAUCCCUCACCCCUCACCUCUAUCCCCAAGAGCUAAGGGAGCUGGAUGCAAUGGCAGAGUGCAAGGCCCAGAUGCACCUACUGCCCUCACCACCUGAACCCCGGCUCUGCGGACUGAGUGAGGGCCCCCAAGCCUGGCUGUUGCGACGCCAGAGUCGCGCUCUCUUGAGUGCGCUGCAGCGGAGUUCACCCGUGUGGGUUCCUGAGUCUCGAAGAGGCGCCCAGCUUGCGGAAAGGCGACUGCGGCAACGCCUAGUGCAAGUCAACCGGAGGCUGGAGUCACUGCACGAUCUGCUGACCCACGUGAUUCGCCAAGACGAGUCUGGCGCCCCGUGGUCAGUGCUGGGGCCAAAUGCACGGCGGCCUCUGGAGGGCGUCUUAGAGACCGAGGCUCUAGAACUGAGCCAGUUGGUGGGCACGCUACAAGGCGACCUUGAUUGCCUGUUGCAGCAGCUGAAGGGCGCACCCCCGUGCCCCUCCCGCCGCUGUGCUGCGGUGGCCCACGCUCUCUGGACUGGCCGCCUACCCUUGCCUUGGCGACCUCAUGCGCCGGCCGGUCCGCAGCCGCCCUGGCACUGGCUGCGACAGUUGUCGCGCCGUGGGCAACUGUUGGUUCGUUACUUGGGCGUGGGCGCGGACGCGAGCAGUGAUGUACCAGAGCGCGUCUUCCACCUGUCAGCCUUUCGCCACCCGCGCCGCCUGCUGCUGGCAUUGCGUGGGGAAGCUGCCCUGGACCAGAAUGUGCCCAGCUCGAAUUUCCCUGGUAGCCGAGGCUCGGUCUCCAGUCAGCUCCAGUAUAAACGUCUGGAGAUGAACAGCAACCCUCUGCACUUCAGGGUGGAGAAUGGUCCAAACCCCACGGUUCCAGAGAGAGGGCUGCUGCUGAUCGGGCUACAGGUCCUACAUGCGGAGUGGGACCCAAUAGCUGGAGCCUUGCAGGACAGUCCUUCCAGCCAACCCAGCCCUCUGCCUCCCGUCAGCAUCAGCACACAGGCCCCGGGCACCAGUGACCUGCCAGCCCCAGCCGACCUGACUGUGUACUCGUGUCCUGUGUACAUGGGAGGGCCCCUUGGCACCGCUAAGCUGCAGAGCAGGAACAUCGUGAUGCAUCUGCCCUUACCCACCAAGCUCACCCCCAACACCUGUGUCCAAAGGAGGGUCCAUGUGUGCAGCCCACCCCUGUCUUGAGCCCGUCUACCAAAAUAAAGUUGUAGUGAUUCCAUGAAAGA
RNAcentral lists this small RNA (2831 nucleotides) under Pan troglodytes (chimpanzee). Its description in RNAcentral is "retained intron". Lineage: Eukaryota; Metazoa; Chordata; Mammalia; Primates; Hominidae. The record is from RNAcentral.